Fukomys damarensis (Damara mole-rat) is the source of this 2178-nucleotide long non-coding RNA. The record is from Ensembl. NCBI's taxonomy places the organism in Eukaryota, Metazoa, Chordata, Mammalia, Rodentia, Bathyergidae.
GGUGGCUCAUGCCUGUAAUCCCAGUAUUCUGGGAGGCUGAGGCAGGAGGAUCGCAAGUUCGAGCUUAGCCUGGGAGACUUAGUGAGAGUCUUUCAAAAUUUUUUAAAAAAUGCUGGGAUGUAGCUCAGUGUAAAGGCCUUGGAUUCAAUCCGCAGUACUAAGGAAAAAAAAGUCAAUAAAUUUAAAUGCAACUGUAUUUUAUCCUAUGACUCGAACCCAAAUGGAAAAUUCUGUCCCUUUCUCCUCAGUGGAGGCACCGAGAUGAAGAGCACAGAACAGAGGUGGGGGCAGAUGAGGCCCAGAUGUGCCACCCACUCCUGUGUGACCUUGAGCAGCUCCGUUCCCCUCUCUGAGAGCCUCAGUUUAUGGCAAGGUGCCCUGUGAGGUUGACGAGUAUUAGAAAUAACCCUAUGCACAAUGCGCUACCCAAUGGGACGGGGGUGGAGAGAAUGCGGAUGAAGACGUUCGCAAAGAAGCCCGAGAUGGCCCCUUCUUCAUGGAACCUUCCUACAGAAAGAAAUCCGCGCGGGCCUGGGAAAGAGUUGCGCCUGGGCCUUGUGUCAGGAAGAGCUAUGGCGAUUCCCUGGCCACGCCAGACACGUGCAUCCCCUCCCACCACAAGUGACUCUUUGGGGAAUCCUGGGGAAUCGGCAGCCUCUUGGGGACCUCGGGACAAGUCUCAGCAUCUGGCCAGGAGUAUGAUGUUCACCUCCAAUGUAGAGACAAGGUCAUUGGUACCCAGAGCAGCCGAGGAAGAGCCUAGCUUACAGGCCAGGCGGGAGUCAUUUGCAACAGCGGCCUCAGUCUUCCACGGGUCUGAACAUCUACGUCUCGUGUGAAAAUUAAUUAGAUGUCCUCUGCCUUACAGUGGUUCUGAUAUAGGAGAUAGGGCACGGCGAAGCUGAGCAGGACCUGUCAAUCACAAGAUCUCCAGGCAACGCGAGGACCCGUAUGUGGAACUUCUCGCGAGCUCACAGGAGAUGCGGCCGAUAUACGAGAGGAGCAGCCAUCGCGGAAAGUCGCAAUCUUGUCUGAGUUUGUGUGGUGGUUUGUCUGGCAUCUCUGUUAUAUCGCGCACUUUUAUUUUUGCUUUUACCCUCUUUUGCUCUUUGUUCAGCUCGCGUUCGCUCUGCAGAGCUGGUUUCUUCCCUAUUCAGUCACUUUUCAAAUAAACUUUUGACGCUGGUAUUGACUUGUUUCGUCCAAUUCUUUGUUCGAGGCAAAAAGGGCCCGGCAAUACUUUUGAUAGGCGAGCCAUUUCUUUUAAAACUACCCUAUAACACUUCAACUUAAUGAUUUUUAACUUUACGAUGAUGAGAAAGAGUGAAUUCAGUCGGUACCAAGCUUUAAAUUAUGACCUUUCCCCAAGCUGGCCAUAUGCGGUACCCGCUCCUGCAAAUCGGGCCAGCAGCAGCUCGGGGAGGCGGGGAGGCGAUUAGUGUCUGGCAUGUGUUGUGUUGCUAAGCUAGGAUGUUCAGGAGGUGAGAUGUGUUACAAUGCAUAUUUAACUUAACAAUAUUUUCAAUUUACUACAGACUUAUUGGAAUAUAACCCUAUCAUGUGUCGACUGAACACAUAGUUAAAUUGCUAUGGGCAAGGCGGAAGUUGAAAUUGCUCACUCAGGGUCCACCAUUGGUAAGUGAAAUCACCAGACUAUGAAUGCAGAGUUGGGCUCUAGAGACUGUGCUGUGUGUGUCUUGGCGAUGCUGGUGCAAUGUGACUCUGUCAAGUGCUGGGAGAAGGAAGGGUCGGGCUGACUCUGGUGCUCCGCAGGGAGGAUUUGGAGCAGUGGACACAGCCAAGCUAUAGGGAGGAUCGCCUGGAUCGCUGUAGGGCAGAAUGAGUGCAUAGGCUGGCUGAGAUGGUGUGACAUUGGGAAAUACACAUUGAGCUUAGUCCUCCUGCCUGGUGUGUAACUCCUGCCGUCCUUGGUGUCUUCAGAGUGAUUGUUUUUUUUUUUUUUUUUUGUACACUAGCGAAUGGACAGCUGGCAGCCCCUGGGAGUUCAGUUUGGGGCUGGUUCAGGAAGGACAGAGGUGAGAUGAGAGAGCUGAGACUUGGAGCCCACCCCUGGUUCUGGGGAGGGGACAGGGUGAAAGUUGGGUUGAUCACCAACAGCCACUGAUUUAAUUAGUCUUUAAAUCAGUAAUGGAGCCUCCAUAAAACCCUACAUGACCA